RNAcentral lists this ribosomal RNA (459 nucleotides) under uncultured bacterium. RNAcentral describes it as "partial 16S ribosomal RNA". It matches the Rfam family "Bacterial small subunit ribosomal RNA", at positions 339 to 795 of the family's 1533-position model. The record is from RNAcentral.
CUACGGGACGCUGCAGUGAGGAAUAUUGGUCAAUGGGCGAGAGCCUGAACCAGCCAUCCCGCGUGCAGGAUGACGGCCCUAUGGGUUGUAAACUGCUUUUCCAUACCAAGAAACCUGAUUACGUGUAAUUAGUUGCCGGUAGUAUGGGAAUAAGCAUCGGCUAACUCCGUGCCAGCAGCCGCGGUAAUACGGAGGAUGCAAGCGUUAUCCGGAUUCAUUGGGUUUAAAGGGUGAGCAGGUGGGCUUGUAAGUCAGUGGUGAAAUGUUGCCGCUUAACGGUAAAAUUGCCAUUGAUACUGCAAGUCUUGAAUACAGUUGAGGUAGGCGGAAUGUGUUGUGUAGCGGUGAAAUGCAUAGAUAUGACACAGAACACCGAUUGCGAAGGCAGCUUACUAAGCUAUUAUUGACGCUGAGGCACGAAAGCGUGGGGAUCGAACAGGAUUAGAUACCCUUGUAGUC